GCCAGAUCUAUGGCUCUGUUCUUUAAAUUUCUUGGAGGAUCUUAAGCUCAGGUGCAACGGGAAAUGUGAAUAAGGUUUCAUGGGUGAUUUUAAGUUCAGAAGGAAGAAGGA
Long non-coding RNA from Helianthus annuus (common sunflower), 111 nucleotides. RefSeq lists it as uncharacterized. Lineage: Eukaryota; Viridiplantae; Streptophyta; Magnoliopsida; Asterales; Asteraceae. The record is from RefSeq and is a predicted model, not a curated record. The transcript is spliced from 3 exons.